This 279-nucleotide ribosomal RNA is filed under the name uncultured bacterium. RNAcentral describes it as "partial 16S ribosomal RNA". It matches the Rfam family "Bacterial small subunit ribosomal RNA", at positions 506 to 784 of the family's 1533-position model. The record is from RNAcentral.
UGCCAGCCGCCGCGGUAAUACGGAGGAUGCAAGCGUUAUCCGGAAUCAUUGGGUUUAAAGGGUCCGUAGGUGGAUUAAUAAGUCAGAGGUGAAAUCCUGCAGCUCAACUGUAGAAUUGCCUUUGAUACUGUUAAUCUUGAGUCAUUAUGAAGUGGUUAGAAUGUGUAGUGUAGCGGUGAAAUGCAUAGAUAUUACACAGAAUACCGAUUGCGAAGGCAGAUCACUAAUAAUGUACUGACACUGAGGGACGAAAGCGUGGGGAGCGAACAGGAUUAGAUA